AUAGCAGCGAUUACAUCAAUUCCUAAGGAUAUCUGAAGAAGGAAGGAAUUUUUAUUCCGAAAUAUCAUAUCAGACUCUGGAUGAUUAAAUUACAACAGCUAUGGUAGUCCAUUGUCUGUAUUAUAGUGCAUUGUUAUACCAUUCAAAACAUUAUAUAUAUAUAUAAAAUGGCGGUGCUCCAGCAUGGCCACAGUCAUUGAACUGAAACAUAUAAGAGAAUAAGAUAAUAUAUAUAUAUAUGGGAGGGGAGGUGUACCCUCGCGCGCGUGUGUGCACACGGGCAUCGAUCCCGGUCAGCCUUGCUAUCCGAAUAGAAUAUGCGGAUGUCCAAUAAGACCGGAACAGGGCAAUUAGCUUCAAAGACCAGGUACAACCCAAUCUGUAUAUUGUUAAAAGAUUGCUAACAACCGAGCUCAUUGUCUACUAGUUGCACGGAUAAUAGUCUCAGUCGACUGGAGAUUUUAGUUUACAUAUAUAAGAUUUCGGGGUUGAUAGAUUAAGUACCAGUUACGCACUGGGGUCGAUAUAAUCGACUUAAUCCUUUGUCCCCUCUAUGUUUAGCCCCUUGUGGGUAGUAAAGAAAUAUAUAUAAGAUUAUACAACAUGAUCCAGUCUUAUUAUGUCUUUUAAAGACAGCAGUAUGCGGUCUGAAGGAAUUUAGCUGUUAUUUCUAGCAGGUCAAAUGAUCCUGCAGUGGCGCCUAUGUGAAUGGAAUUUUUGAAGAGAGGAAGCAGAGAGAAAGGAAAGAAGCAGAUUGUUAGUUGUAACCAUGUGACGUCAUCAAAGAAGCGGAGUAAUUGCGAACGAGAAUCUCAUUGACGUCUCGUUUCACUGAACUUUGUCAGUAGUCGGUGCGCGCAAGCAAUUAGUGUUUCUUCAUUCACUCAUUAUUUCGUCUGUCAAUAAUUGAAUUCUACUUCGAAAAUGUCUAGUCAAGUCCAGUCUCUGCAGAAACAACUCUCCCAGUUACGCCAGGAAGCUAGUAUCUCUAGAAUUCCUGUGUCGCAAGCUAUAGAGGAGUAAGUGAUGAUUUCUUCAAUAUUAAUUAGUUUUUCUUUUCCUUUUCACUUAAUUAAUUAACUGCUUUUUGUUAGUUCUUUGUUUUAGAUUGUUUUUUUUUUUGACGAAUUAUUGAUUACUAGAAUCUGCUACUGUUAUGAUUUUUUAAUUAUAACCAUCUUCUGCCUAUUCCGUAUCCUUUAUAGUCGCGCACAUCAUUCUCUUCCAUUUCAAUUUGUCGGCAUAGAUGCACACCUACCAGUUAAUCAGUUUAGCCCCAGGUCUGCGGAAAUCGAGCAGAUUCAUCAUCCAAGGCUUUCCAUCCCUAAUCUCUUCGACUCUUUUCCUUUUUCCAAUGCACCCCGAGCCAAAUUUUUUAAUCUGAUCUUUUCUCAGGUGAUGGAGUAUAACUUGAAAGAGAUUUCACUGUUAUUUUUAGCAAAUCUAACGGCCAUGUAGAAGCUCUCGCUGACUCACUACUAUAGAAACCAACAAGGGAGCCUUUACGUGAUAGCUCGAUUUGCUAGAAAUAGCAGCCACACCUCCCUCACACUCCUUAGUGUCUUUAAAAAUAGGAAAGUCACUGAACAGUGCUGGAGAUGGUCACGUUUGGAAUACCGCUUUGAUCAUAAUUCUACUCUAUCGGGUUUGAUCUAAGAAAGGUGGGGUCAAACAGCAGCAGUAUUUAAAUUAUGUAUGUUUAUUAUUUGAUCUAAUUCCAGUUGGAUACUAAUAUCGAUUGAUGAGUUAGUUACCUUGGUAGUGUAUCAGUCAUCUUAACGAAUUGUUGCUAUUCUUCAUCAUUGAUUAUCUUAUUACGACAGAAAUGGAAAAUGAACAAGUGUUGCUUUAUGGCUGACAUCUUGGUAGUAAUAGCAGUCAGUAGAGAUGGUGCUGCCCGUGUUGAUGAUGAUGGUAGUAGUUUCGCCCCAGUUCAGCUCCGAGGAGACUUAGAAGCAAAGGCGUUGUAACCAUGGCCAUCUCGUCUUUUUUAGAGCUAUCUAGGAUCGUACCACUCUGAUGGGUUCGUUUUAUAAAACGAUAGCGUGGCUACCGCGCCGAGGUUUCUUGUAUAAAGACAAUUAUCUUGUAUAAAGAUAAUUAAUGGUAGAUUCCAACUAGAGCAAUAAGACGGGGUUUGUCUUGAGAAGAGAUAUAUUAGCUUUUCUGUUGGCAUUAAUUCAAUUUCGUAAGGUGAAGUGUGAAGCUGAACUCGAGUCCUUCAUUGCAGCACAUGAAACGUAUAAAUAAUUAGAAUAUUAUUGAUAAAUCUUUAAAAUAACCAGUUUUGCAGUGAAGAAUGCACUCUUGGUAUAUAUUAAAUAUAUUCUUAGUCUGUUUAUGUGUCGAGUGAGAUUUCUGUCGAAGAUUAGCUUUCCAGGUUUAAUUAGCUAUUUUAAACUACAUAUAACUACAAGGGACGGUCUCUAUGUAGGUGCUCGAACUGCUAGAAAUAGCAGCUGAACCUUCCUUCAAACCAUACCAUAGUCUUAAAAAAAUCGGAGUUCUAUCAUGGAAAAGAAUGGAUUAGUCGGGGUUUUAAGUGUUUAAUCUUAAGGAUACUCAAACAUAGCUGAUCUGAGCCUAAUCACGAACAGCGGUGGAGUUUAUGUAGUCACUCACAAUAGCAGUCAAAUCUCCUCUAAACCACAUGUUAUCACUUAAAAAUGAAGGAGAGAAAAAAACCUGAACAAUAUAGAAAAAUGAUAUUCUGGAUUCACUCUGUAAGAACGACGAGGUUGUGGCUGCAAUGGCUUUAAACGAUAAGUUUACUCUAUCAGGUACUUAGUAGUUAAACGGCAGCAGUUGAUAAAUACUACUUUUAAAGGAAUGAAUUUUGAAACUCAGCCGAAAUAUUUUCGAGGGUUAGUCAUACGAAGCUACGAACGAAAGUAACCAUCCACCUCAAUGUAGCAGCAGUAAUUAACACAUUUAAUGCUUUUAGGAAAUAGAAAGUAUUCUUUCUUUCUUUUUUUUUUGUUUUAAGAAGCUUAUAAAAGAUUAAUUAGUUAAACUUCUUUCUGUAAUUAUUAUGACUUCGCUGAUUGAAGGGAAGAAUGUCGAAGAUAUUAAUUACAUAUGCGGAUGGAACAUGGUAAGAAUGCUUGAAUGAGAGCGUAGGGCGGGAGGAAGUAAAAUAUUAUUCAACUGAUCAUUUCGGAAACCUAUUUUGGUGGUACUUUCCUGACUAUAUAUCUAACUACAAAACUUUCCGAAUGUAAAAAGUUGCAUAUAUAUAUAUAGUUUUCUGUAUAUAUAUAUAUAUUAAAAGUUUCAGCUAGAACCAUAGCUUCUUAUUAACUUAUUUUCUUUGAAGGUUCAGGUUUGAUACAAUAUAGCAGCAAUCAAGUUACUGGCAAUUUAACCAACUACUCUCCUCCAAAUUGCUGGCCUUGUGCCUAAUUUAGAAAUUAUUAGGGUGAUAGAUUGGCAGAAUUGUUGGUGUUGGACAAAAUACUACUUUGUGGUACUUGUUCCAGCUUUUUAGUUCGAGUUCAAAUCCCGCCGAGGCUAACUACCUUUCCUCCUUUUAGGGUUGAUAAGCGAAGUACCAACCAAACAAUCGACUAUUCCCUUAUAGUGCUGGUCUUGUACUUAAUCUAGAAACAACUAUUAUUUACCAUAUCAGCUAAUUAAAAACUCUUCAUAUCAUAUAAUAAUUUUAAUCAUUUACCAAUUAAAUCAUUUUCGUUAAUAGUCUUGAGAAAUUCGUGAAUGAUGCUGAAUUUCAUUUCUCUUUGCUCGAAAGGUUUUGUAUCUAAUGACAAAUGUUCAUUCUGUAUAAACAAUGUUGAAGAAAUACUGUUUUUUUUAUUAUUAUUUACGUUAGUAGUCAGUUGUAUAUUAUGGUGAUUCAUUGAGGCAAGACUUCGCAUUUUCUGUUUUUGCUUAAGUCUGAAUGUAAUUGAUGUACACCACAUGGGUCGUAUUGAAACGUGACCAUACGAUAGCAUAUCACUUGAUCAGUGCUUGCUUUUAUGAACUAGUCUAAAUCAAAAUUAUUAUUAAAUAUCAAAUAUAACUGAAUAUCAUCGAUAGAGGAAGAUUUAAACAAAGUGUGUAAGAUGAUGAAGUUACUGAGGCAACAAGCUAUUAAAAGAUUAUAGCUGAAAACUUAAAGGAAUCAAUAAUAUUAAAUAAAUAGUAUAUAUUUAAAUAUUAGGCAAGUUCUUUUAAAACAAGAAUGAGCAUUAAAAGAGAUAGAUUUAAAUUUGAGCCACUGAAGUCUCGUCGUUAAUUUUAUUUCGAUAUUUAUGGCCUUUUAUUUUCUAAACCCAUCAUAUCUCGCUAUCCAUCCAGUGUCGAUGAAACAAGUACCUGUUAAUUAUUGAGAGGAGUCCACAUAAUUGGUCGUUCCUCUCCCCACAAUUCUUGACCUUAUUAUUUUCCAUUUGAAAAAUUAGGGUUAUCCUAUUUUCGUCAGUGCAUGAUUACUUAGAUGGGAAUUCUCUGUUAACAAAUAUUUGCCACCGGAUAAAGAGGCGGUUUGUUUCGUAAAAUGUUGGCGCAUAUUACUAUUAAAAUUCGAGAAACUAUUCGGUUACCAUCACUUCAUCUCUUCAUUUCUUCCUUCCUGUCGACUAUGUGUGUGUGUGUGUUUUCUAAGUUAUAAAAAUCGGCAAAAAUGCGGCUUCGCUCUGUUUAUCAAUUAAUUCUUUGUUCCCAUUAAGGCAGCUGGCCUGGCCCCCACCUCCGUCUCUCUCUCUCUCUGAGUGUAGCUGUUUGUCCCACCACAUCAACCUGUGUUGAACUAUGUGAAGUGGCAGCUGACUUAGUUCUAAACUAUUCAAACAUCGUCAACAGACAAAUAUUUCUCUGUUUUCUGUAAUAUAAGUCUCAGUUUAUAUUUAUUUAUGGUGAGUGUUAUUAAAAAAAAAACAAAUCCCUACUCAUAUACACACUUCUAAACGUGCAAACUUUCGAGAACCCGUAAAUGUUUAUAGUGAGGGGGGAAAUAGCUCUUUAUUCUUGUUUCAGUCAUUGGACUGCAGCCAUGCUGGGACAUCACCUCAGUUUUAAGUCUGGCACCUCUUCUAUCGAUUAUUUUGCCGAACUGCUAACCAAAGACACCACCGGUUGAGACACACACACACACGACGGGCGGUCCUUAUUAAAUUUUUGGCAGCCCUUUGAAGUUUUUCAGAUUUUCACCAGAUUAUUUUGGGGGCAAAAUUAUAUAAGAGCUAUAUUUUUUGAAAAUAAUCUGUUGAUUAUUUUCAAGUGGUUGGAAGAAAUUUAACAAGAAUGUGACAAACUUCCACCACAAUUUUCUGCUACCAAAUUUAAACUCAGGGAAUUGGUUGACCUGAGGAUAUAGUUGGAAAAACUUGCACAGUGGGACGGAAUCUAAAACCCACAAGAGUAUGAAUUGAACUUCUUAACCACACGUCCAUGACAAAAUUAUGUGAAAUAUUUUUGCUUACUUUGUCUUCGUAGGAACCUGACAAAAUUCUUGUUUACCUUAAGACCUUUCUUAAAAGUAACUUGUCCUUUUAAAAAUUGUUUCUAAGUGCAUUGUUUGUUUACUUCUAAUUAACGAGUUAAACCAAAAUCUAGCUUUUUUUUUUACAGUUUAGGCACAUUCUUAAGACAUAAACUUAUACUCUGUAGAAAUCAAGCAGUUGAACUAACUUGGUGUUUGUAUGUAUCAUCAUCAUCAUCAUCAUUGUUGUAAUAUUUACUUUUCUAGGCUAGUAUGGGUCAGACGAGAGUAUAUUAAGGCAGUUUUUCUAUGGCCAGAUGCCCUUCCUCUUGCAAAUCUCCACUUAUUUUCAACUGAGGUAAUAAUCUCGCAGUCUAUUGAACAGUCUGGACAUACAUGUAUGCAUGCAUGAGUGUGGGUUUGUGUCUCCUUGGUUAGAAAUCUUGUGAUGGUUGUAAACAAGCAUCACUGUUAUAUAAGCAGUGUUCCUCAUUUUCAGUCUGUGAAAACAUGUCAGGCCAAGGGAAAAUAUUACCUUAGUUGAAAACAGGUGAGCUUUAGCAACAGAAAGGGUAUCCAGAUGUAGAAGAUCCAAUUUAGUGAGUUCCGUUUUAUGUUCCCUUGAUAAAGAAUAUCCAGUUCAGUUUAGCCUUUCCUUUAGAGGUACAUUUUUUAAAUACUUCAUACCUUACAACCUGCCUUCUCAAAUUACAUGUAAGCCUAGCAGAAUUAAUUGUUUCAAUUGGGUAAGUAAUAGCAGUAAUAGUAGGAUUAACUAAUUUUAUACUUAUUCACUGGUGGAUUAUGUUGUUAAUCUCAGCUUUAGUCAAGUGGGAUUUAUUUAUCUUUAAAUGGACUUCAUUGUGUUGGUAGAUUAUGGUAAUUGAUAUUGUAUUUUGUAAAUAUUUAUAUUAGCUUUAUUUCUAUUGAAAUGUACUGGUAUGCAACUUCUAAUGAUGGUCACUUUGAUGUUAUUGUCACUUUCUGCUAUUAUUUAGCCCUUGGCAGCUAUUCACAUUGUCUUCUCACUUAUUUACUUAUCAACCUAUCCACCCACCUAUAUAUGUCUAUUUACAUGGGGAGUUUAGGCAUAUGUUAAAGCUUACAAUCUACUUGUUGGACUGUUUAGCAAUUUCGUUAAGACAAAGAGUAUAUGUUGUCCUGUUGUUUGCAUUUCUGUUUUGAAGACAGAAUGGCUGUAAUAAUACCUGUUCAUAAGUAUCUUUUCUACCUAAGACACAAGGCCUGGAAUUUUGUAGGAAUUAUUUGAUUAUAUUGAACCUAGUAUAUAACUGGUACUUAUUGUAUCAACACUGAAAGGACGAAAGGCAAAGUCAAUUUUGGUGGCAUUUGUACUCAGAAUGUAAAGCUGGAAGAAAUGGUAAACAUUAAGUCCAGCGUGCUGACAAUUCUGCCAUUUUGCUGACUUGCUAUAUAUAUAUAUAUAUCACGUCACAUGACCGACCAGGCUAUCAGAUGUUGCUACACAUCGCUGGUCACAAUGCGCUUCACAUUGUUUUAGCCUUCAAAUGAUGCCACCCCGCUGGCUAAGCGAGGAGCAGGCCAAACAGAAGAAAGAGUGAGAGAAAGUUGUGGCGAAAGAGUACAGCAGGGAUCGCCACCACCCCUGCUGGAGCUUUAGGUGUUUUCGCUCAAUAAACACUCACAACGCCUGGUCUGGGAAUCGAAACUGUGAUCCUAUGACCGCGAGUCCGCUGCCCUAACCACCGGGCCAUUGCACCUCCACAUAUAUAUUCUUGUACUUGUUUCAGUCAUUUGACUGUGGCCAUGCUAGAACACUGCCUUUAGUCAAACAAAUCAACCCCAGAACUUAUUCUUUGUGAGCUUGGUACUUUUUCUAUCGGUCACUUUUACUGAACUGCUAAGUUAUGAGAACGUAAACACACCAACAUCAAUUGUCAAGCGAUGGUGGGGAUCAAACACAGACACAUACAUAUACAUACACACAAUGGGCUUCUUUCAGUUUCCAUCUACUAAAUCCACUUACAAGGCUUUGGUCGUUUUGAGACUAUAGUAGAAAACACUUGCCCAAGGUGCCAUGCAGUGGGACUGAACCCAGAACCAUGUGGUUGGGAAGCAAGCUUCUUACCACACAACCCCACACCUGUUCAAUAAGACUGUAUUCUAUCCCAGUAAGUACAUGUUCUUGUACACUUACUUCAGCAAGCAUGUUGAAGUUUUUGACUUACUGAAGGGAUGUAAUAUAACCAAAACAUACUUGAUUUCUCUUGUGCAUGCUAAGACUCAAAAGAUCUUUCAAUAACUAAUACUAUUUUUGUCUUCCGCCUACAUAGUUUUUACUAGUGAAAUUGUCAAUGUUCUCUGCAUGAAAUAUUUUGACAUCAACAGAACUGUUUGUUAUUUUCCUUGGUCAUAAUUGUACUAAAAGCUCACAAUACUUAAUAGUAAAUAUUUUGCAAUAUUGGAAUUAGUUUUAGAUGCAGUCAUCUUUUGAAUUUCAGUAAAGUUAAGUAUUUCAUUUCGUUUUUGGAUUUGGUUUGCAAGAUUAGUUCGUGUAUUCUGUUGUGUCUGGGGAGAGUAAUUUUCUUUUUGUGCCUUAUAAUUUAACACGCUCACCGGUAGUCAAGACUAUUGAAAAGGUUGCAAGACGCAAUGAAAAUUUUAGGAAAAUAAAAAUAAGAAAUAAGUGGAAAUUUUACUAGUGAGUGUGUUAAAUUAUAAGUAUUUUUAUACAGUUCUAUAUUUAAGAGAUGAGGAAUUAUGUACAUUAUUUACAUUUGACGGAUAUUUCUCCUCAUCUUGUUUGUUUGUUAACAAUGUUUCAGCUGAUAUACCCUCCAGCCUUCAUCAGGUGUCUUGGGGAAAUUUCAAACCUGGGUUCUCAUUCCUGAGGUAUAAUAAUACUGAAAAAUACCUUAGGAAUGAGAACCUAGGUUCAAAAUUUCCCCAAGACACCUGCUGAAGGCUGGAGGGUAUAUCAGCCGAAAUGUUGUGUUAAUAAUAAACAAGAUGAGGACAAAUAUCUGUCAAAUGUAAAUAAUGUUAAUAAAUAUUUUAAUGUUUUCAAUAUUGCAAAAAUAAGUUUUCAGUUUUCACUACUUUAAACCUGUGUAGCCUGUUUUUUUUUUAGAAUGGUUUUUCUAGUGAUAAAAUUCCUAUAGUUGAAUUCUACGUUCUACUUGCCUAGAACCUGUCAUCAUUUCUCUGAACCACCCCUCCCCACUGGUGCUCCCCUAUAUAUUUCUGCACCCCCCCCCCCACAUAAAAAGCACCAUCCGAACAUGGCCGAUGCCAGACCCCUCUGGCACCUGUGCAGGUGGCACGUAAAAACACCCACUACACUCGCGGAGUGGUUGGCGUUAGGAAGGGCAUCCAGCUGUAGAAACACUGCCAGACUAGACUGGAGCCUGGGGCAGUCCCGAGCUCCCCAGACCCCGGUCGAAACCGUCCAACCCGUGCUAGCGCGGAAAACGGACGUUAAACGAUGAUGAUGAUGAUGAUGACUACAUUGCAUCUGGUUUCAUUGAAUUGAUUUUUGUUAUUUAUAUGCAGUGGCGUCACAGGUGGGCUGAUAGAAGAGAUAUGCAAGAGUAGUUAGCAUUAAGAGCACUCAUGAAAUACAUUCAAAUGCGCAGAAGGCUCCAUACAACUUGGUGCAAUUGCAAGUAGAUGUUCUGAAAUAGUAGCGAGAGUAAGGAUGGAGUUAGAAAAUUUCAAGGGUUUAAUACCUCAGCUGGUGACAGAAGGGUUCUGUAUUUGAAUAAAGAGUAGAUUGUGUAUAAAGUGAGACAUUGCAUUGUAGCUAAGUGUAGGUUUUGAGUGCAGAGGAUUUGUGAAAGCUUGAAAGAUAUGAGGUGAGCAUGAUUUACUGGAUGUGUUAGGUUAGAAUGUACAAACAAAGGACCACAAAUGAGUUGAGAGAAAAUGAGAAAAAUAGUUUACAUGAGGUAUAUGAUGUCGUGUGCAAGAGAAACAACUGUGCUGUUGUUACGGGCCUGUAAUAUACAUGGACUGUUACAAUGCAAUAUCUCCCUUAAUACACAAUCCAUCCUUCAUUCAAGUAGAGAACCCUUCUAUCACCAGCUGAGAUAUUAAACUUUUGAAAUUCUCUCACACCAUCCUAUAUAUACAUACAAACAAGCUUCUUUCAGUUUUUGUCAGCUGAAUCCACUUACAAGGUUCUGGUCAGUCUGGGGCUAUUGUAGAAGAUACUCCAGCCUUCAUCAGGUGUCUUGGGGAAAUUUCAAACCUGGGUUCCCAUUCCUAAGGUAUUUUUCGAUAUUAUUCAGGUCACUGCCUGGAAUCGAGCUCGGAAUCUUGGGGUUAGUAGUCCACACUCUUAACCACUAUGGCCGUGGGUAAUUAUGGAGUGAGUUUUAGGGCUUAUAAAUCUGAUAUUUCCCCAUCCUUCCUUAAUACAGGUUCCCAUAUGUUAGUCAUAUCUCCACUUGGUCUGCUUUAGAAGGUUGUUGUGUCCUAGCAUAUAUGCUGCUUCUUUUAGUUUUCAUAUUUUCCAGUGGUGUUCUCUGUCUAUUAUUUUAACUUCAUUCCACUGGGGGAGGUGGUCUCCAUUUUUCUAUACGUGAUCAGGUAUACCCGAUUUAUCAAUAUCUUCUCAUGUCACAGCUUUGCGAUGUUCCUCUGCCCUUAUUUUUAGGGGACGACAUGUUUUGCCUUUGUAUAACCUACUACAGCUGCAUGGGAUGGAGUACACACAGUUUUUGGUCAUAUUCUCUUCUAUUGGUGGUUUUACCUGAAGGAGAAAUUUGCGAAUAUCCGUCUAAUGUAAAUAAUAUACAAGAUCACGCAGUUGGGAAGGCUGCUUUUCAACCCACAGUCAUGUCUGCACCUAUUGUAUAUCUUCAGAGUAAACUUAGCUAAGACUAAAACAUUAGUAAGUGAAAGACAAACCCCUUGCUAUGAUCAAGGAAGUCUAUACUUGCUACUCAGAAAAGGAGCAAGUAGGAAUUUCACAUUAUGUACCUAAUAUAUACAGUGGACAUACAAGAUGUGUAGCUGGACCUCAAGCAAGUUAACAAUAAAUGUAGACUUCAUGUGUGGAAAAGUUCACAGAGGUUGUAAGUAUCAACACCUCAUAGGAAGUACAUCCUGUCAAGCACUUGGAAGGCUCCCUAUAAUUAGUUGACAGCCUUUGUUACUGAGGUGAUCUAAUUAGCAGUGGGGUGGGUAUUCUGAAAGAGUCGCCAGAGUAAGAACGUUCUGGAAAAAGUUCAGUGAGUUAGGGCUUCUUUAAAAUUUUAGUGUGUAUGAAUGACUGAGUUGAAAUGAGCAGAGAGAAAGAAAAAACUGGACUUGCUGGUAUGGACUUGUGAUAUAUAUGAGGAUGAGUGAUGUAUAAAGAAGUACUGUCCACAAUGAAGGAGUGGAACCUGUGAAGGAGGGAGACAAGUGUGUGUGUGUGUGUGUGUGUAUAUAUUUAAAAAUUAUGAGUAUAAUUAUAAUUAGUUUCAGCAAAAAAUUUGCUUUACCACAUACCGAAAAUUAGAAAUAGCAUUUAAAAACUAACUAUUUCACUACCAUAUGAAAAUCUCCCAAACAGUAAUACUCAACAACUCACGCAGGUAAAAAGAAAAAAAAAAAUAACGAAUCCACCCGGCUUUGAUUAACUGUAUAUGCGUUUUGGAGUUAGAGAGAUGUGAAAAAUGUUAAAAUCAUAUUUCCGCUCUCAUUCCCCUAAUUCAAGAUUUUAAAUUUGAGAGCACUGAAAAAUGAAACAUACUUAUCUGACCAGGCGACAUCAGUAUUGAGUAUUGCUGUCUAGGAGAUUUUCUUAUGGUAGUGAAAUAGUUUUUAACUGCUAUUUCUAAAUUUCGGUAUGUGGUGAAGCAAAUUUUUUGCUGAACCCUAAUUAUAAUUAUACUCAUAAUUAUAGAAUUUUUGUAUAAGUUUACUGAUAAUGGCUCUUUUAACAUACCGAACUAUUUGGUAAAAUUAUUAAUUAAUUAAUUAAUUUUGCCCUUUGUUAUUAUUGAUAUAUAUAUAUAUAUACAUAAUAUUAAUUAGAGACAAAACCACUAUUAUGCAAAUCAAACAAAGAAAGACUUAAUCCAAUACAUUAAAAAAAUUUUAUAUAAAUUAAAUAAAAUUAAAUUAGAAGAGACACGAAACAAUUGUAGUGGCGAAUUUAAUUUUAUUUAAUUUAUAUAAAAAUUUUUUUAUGUCUUGGAUUAAGUCUUUCUUUGUUUGAUUUGCAUAAUAGUGGUUUUGUCUCUAGUUAAUAUUAUAUAAUAUUUUACUAUAAAAUUGGAUUCAGUCCUAAAUCUGAUUUUUCCCUGUAAAUUUGGAUUUAUUCCCUAAUAUUUAUUAUUAUAUAUAUACAUAUAUAUAUAAAAAGCACCAUCCGACUCGUAGCCGAUGCCAGCACCGCCUCGUCUGGCUUCCGUGCCGGUGGCACAUAAAAUACACCCAUCCGACCGUGGCCGUUGCCAGCCUUGCCUGGCACCUGUGCAGGUGGCACGUAAAAAGCACCCACUACUCUCAUGGAGUGGUUGGCGUUAGGAAGGGCAUCCAGCUGUAGAAACACUGCCAGAUAAGACUGGAGCCUGGUGCAGCCUUCUGGCUUCCCAGAUCCCCGGUCGAACUGUCCAACCCAUGCUAGCAUGGAGAACGGACGUUAAACGACGAUGAUGAUGAUGAUGAUAUAUAUGUGUGUGUGUGUGUGUGUGUAUAUACAGUAAUCUUCAACUAUCAUGGGUGUUACAUUCCAAAACACCCCCCCGUGAUAGGUGAAAAUCCAUGAGGUAGGAACAGUACUGUACUCUUUUACUCUUUUACUUGUUUCAGUCAUUUGACUGUGGCUAUGCUGGAGCACCGCCUUUAGUCGAGCAAAUCGACCCCAGGACUUAUCCUUUGUAAGCCUAGUACUUAUUCUGUCGGUCUCUUUUGCCGAACCACUAAGUUAUGGGGAUGUAAACACAUUAGCAUCGGUUAUCAAGUGAUGUUGGGGUGGGCAAACACAGAUGCACAAACAUAUACACACACACAUACAUACAUAUAUACGACGGGCUUCUUUCAGUUUCCGUCUACUAAAUCCACUCACAAGUGUUUGGUCAACCCGAGGCUAUAGUAGAAGACACUUACCCAAGGUGCCACGCAGUGGGACUGAACCCGGAACCAUGUGGUUCGUAAGCAAGCUACUUACCACAUAGCCACUCUUUUGCCUACUGUGUUUUUUUUUUGUAAUUAUUUUUAUAAUUUGUAUAUAUUUUAUUAUAAAUGCAAAACAGCAUCACGGAGGAAUCGGUGUAAGCUUAUGUAAUAAACUGCGAAAUGGCGAGGGAUUACUGUGUGUGUAUAUAAGGGGGCCUGACAGGAUCUAAUGAGUCAAAAGACUGCAUUGGGUUCCAGUGUCUACUUUGGUAUGGUUUCUAUGGAUGGAUGCUCUUCCUAACGCCAGCCAUUUUAUAGUGUGUACUAGGUACUUAUAGUAUUGGUAAUAGUGAGGUUGCUAAGUAACUUGUAUGACAAAAUAACUCCUCAACUGAGUGGGAAUGUAAUAGAGAGGCAGUUGAGACUUUGUCUGGUGUUGAGAGCCUAAUGAUCGAGUGACAGGAACAGAUGACUUGCUGCAGUGGAGAUAUAGGGCUACCUCAAAUUAUAUAUGAGUGAGUGGGAGUAGUUAGAAAGUGUGAUGAAGAUGGUGGUGACAAGGUGUAAGAGCAUAAGGUGAACAGAAGAGAAAAUAGGGAGUAAGUCAGGAAGGGUUGGGAGUAGGUUCACAAGAGUGUGAGAGGAGCAGGAUUUAUAAUACAGUUCUGUAUUUAAGAGAUGAGGAAUUAAUUACAUUAUUUACAUUUGACAGAUAUUUGUCCUCAAGAUGAGGACAAAUAUCCGUCAAAUGUAAAUAAUGAGCAUGAUUGAUGGUUAGAGAUGGAGGUAGAAGUUAAAGUAAUGAAUAGUGAACAAGGUUAGAGGGGGGUGGUUGAUGCUAAAUAUGAAUUUUGAGGGACAGUAAUAAGAAACAGAAAUGGCUCAGGAAGGACAUCAUCAAGGCUCAGUUCUCAGUCUCCUUUUGGUCAUCAUAUUCCUCCAAGCCAUAAAAACCAUGCUAUACCAGACAUUGGAGCAUGAUGAAGUCUUCUGACUGAUUGGACUCUGUUUCAGCAUCCAACAAAAUGUUAUCAAGGCAGACAGACUUUAAAAGAUGUAGAUGGUGAUAUAUGUAUAUCAGCUGUUAUCUACAUCUGCUGCUUCUUCUAUCUCUUUGAUACAUUCUCAUGUCUAAUACUUGCCCUUCACCAUAUGAUGGCUGCCUAUAAGACUAAGGAUGGCAGGGGAUAUCACUGUACCAUCCUUUCCAUGUAGAUGCUAUUGGACCUCUCUAACCCUUUCAUCUCUGACGUUCACCCUCUCCACUGUACCAUGCUGUCUGUGUAAUGAGGGAUUGUAUUAGACCUACCCAUAUUUCAAUCCCUCACCACCAAUGUCCUUAACGUUACUUCUCUUGCCCAUCAUGAGACAUGUAUAAGGGACACAGCAGGUGUUUGUAUUUCAUACACUUUACCAUCACCUUUUCUUUCUUGGACCACUUGUUACUGACAUCAGCUACUGAGUCUCACCGUUAUCACUCUCCAGUAUUGUCCAUUACCCUUUGUCUCCCUUUACCACUCUCUUACAUCAAUCAUUCCCCUUCCAUUAUACUCUUGCUUUCAUCCACUCAUCCUAAUUCUUUGGUUAUUGCUUUCUCUUCUACUCACCUUCUUGCUCACGUUUUGAGUGAAUGAAUGCAUCAUAAAGUAAGACUAAGGUUAUUCUCCUAGGACUGGUUCCACAAUAAAAUGUAUCUAGUAUGAUUUAUAAAAAAUGGUUGUUCACCAUCCGAACGUGGCCGAUGCCAGCGCCGCCAUGACUGGCUUCUGUGCUGGUGGCACAUAAAAAGCACCAACUGAUCGUGGCCGCUGCCAGCCUCUCCUGGCACCCGUGCCAGUGGCAUGUAAAAAGCACCCACUACACUCAUGGAGUGGUUGGCAUUAAGAAAGGCAUCCAGCUGUAGAAACACUGCCAGAUCAGAUUGGAGUCUGGUGUAGCCUCCUGGCUUCCCAGAACCCGGUCGAACCGUCCAACACGUGCCAGCAUGGAAAACAGACGUUAAACAAUGAUGAUGAAUGGAUGGGGAUGAUGUGGAGUUGAGAGGAUCUAUUUGUCUUGUUGAGAACAUGGCAGUAUCUCUAGUGUUGGUGGUACCUUGGUAAAAUGCACCCAGCAUGCACUAUAAAGUAGCUGGCAGUUGGAAGGAUAUGCAACUGUGGAAAGCAAGCCAAAAACAUGAGCAAGACAUGGUUGUCUGAUCCACCUAGAAGAGUAAGAACUGACUUAAAUUGUAAUGAUCGAUCUAACCCAUGCCAGCAUGGAAAGUUGACAUAAACAAUGAUGACUACACUGUUGUGUAAUGUACAUGCUAGCUGGUCAAUUUCUUUUUCUGAAAAACCCAGUUUUGCCAGAUUGUCACUUCAGCAUUUAUUAACAAAACCAAGUGCACCAAUUAUUAGUGGUAAAAUAUUAAUUUAUAAUCUGAGUAUAGAAAGUGAAGGCUUUGAAGUCGUCUAUAAAUAUCCUCUUCUCUUUGAUUUUCAAACAGAUGCUCACAUCAGCAGGGCAACUGACCUCUAUGACUGGGCAUGCUUUUUCUUGUCAGCCCCAAACAACUAUAUCCAGCAUGUUUGCAAGUAGUAGUAGUUUUGAUGGGAAUGUUCCACCAAUAUUUUUUGUGUCAAUGUAUAUGAAUGUAUUAAAUAACAGGGAAAGUCUCUACAUUUAUCCCAGAACAGACAUUGCAUUGUAUAUUGUCUGCGUUACAACACCAUGUCAUGUUGAGAGGUUAUACCUUGAUAACAUUUUUAGGCAACAGUUGACCACAUGUAUGAUGUCUUCCACAGAAAUGUGACAUAUAGGCGCAGGAGUGGCUGUGUGGUAAGUAGCUUGCUAACCAACCACAUGGUUCCGGGUUCAGUCCCACUGCGUGGCAUCUUGGGCAAGUGUCUUCUGCUAUAGCCCCGGGCCAACCAAUGUCUUGUGAGUGGAUUUGGUAGACGGAAACUGAAAGAAGCCUGUCGUAUAUAUAUAUAUAUAUAUAUAUAUAUAAGUGUGUGUGUAUAUGUUUGUGUGUCUGUGUUUGUCCCCCUAGCAUUGCUUGACAACCGAUGCUGGUGUGUUUACGUCCCCGUCACUUAGUGGUUCGGCAAAAGAGACAGAUAGAAUAAGUACUGGGCUUACAAUGAAUAAGUCCGGGGUCGAUUUGCUCGACUAAAGGCGGUGCUCCAGCAUGGCCGCAGUCAAAUGACUGAAACAAGUAAAAGAGUAAAAGAGUAUAAUUGACAUUUUCGGUUGCAUCUUGGGUCUUCAAGGGCUCACUAUUUCUUCUGUUCAUUAGGUAUUUUAGAGUAAUCUGCUGCACUUGGAUUGCAAACUCAUAGCCUACAAAGUAUGAUGUAAUGCAACAAUGGUGAUUCCAAGAAAGGCUGCACUUAUGUUGAUGGUGUCAUCUUCAAAGCAGCAAGCUGGCAGAAUCGUCAGUGUUCCAGGCAAAAUGCUUAGUGGCAUUUCAUCCAUACUCUUUCGCUUUUACUCUUUACUUGUUUCAGUAAUUUUGACUGCGGCCAUGCUGGAGCACCGCCUUUAGUUGAGCAAAUCGACCCUGGGACUUAUUCUUUGUAAGCCCAGCACUUAUUCUAUCUGUCUCUUUUGCCGAACCGCUAAGUGACGGGGGCGUAAACACACCAGCAUCGGUUGUCAAGCAAUGCUAGAGGGACAAACACAGACAUACAAACAUACACACACACACACACAUAUAUAUAUAUAUAUAUAUAUAUAUAUAUAUAUAUACGACAGGCAUCUUUCAGUUUCCGUCUACCAAAUCCACUCACAAGACAUUGGUCGGCUCGAGGCUAUAGUAGAAGACACUUGCCCAAGAUGCCACACAGUGGGACUGAACCCGGAACCAUGUGGUUCGUAAGCAAGCUACUUACCACACAGCCACUUCUGCCUUUACAUUCUGAGUUCAAAUUCCACCAAGGUCAGCUUUGACUUCCAUCCUUUCAGGGUCAAUAAAAUAAAUAUCAGUUGAGUUUUGGGAUUGAUGUAAUUGACUCCCCCCACCUUUCCCUGAAAUAGCUGGUCUUGUGCCAAAAUUUGAAACCAAUAUUAAUUAGUGUUAUCUUCAAGUCUUUGGAAAACAUAUAAUCAUACACAUGUAUAGUCUCUCUCUCUCUCUCUGAUAUAUUGGUUGAGCAUUUAACAUCUGGGUCUUCUUUGAGGUAUGGCAGUCCAGCUGUUUUUGGGUUGUAUGGGAAGUUAGGAAGAGAGCACUUCCUGAGGAGCUCAUUGCCAACAUGUAGGAUGUUCUCUUUGCUUUUCAGCAUGAAGCUUAUAUAUUUAUUUUUGCUGGUGUUGUUUACCUCUAUGACAUUCGAAGGCUGCUUGCCCUGAUCCCAAGCCCCUAUUUCCAUUGUUUCUGAGGUAGACCUUGUUGAUAUUGUUUCUGCUGAAGUUUCCAGUUGAUAUCAGGGUCUUGUGGAGUUUAACCCUUUAGCAUUUAAACCGGCCAUAUCCGGCCAAAGGUAUUCUGCCUGUUUUAUGGUCAAACUGGCCAGAUCUGGUCUCUCACACCAGCCCUACAAUAUCGUUUUUAAAAUUAACAGCUACCUCAUCAGAAUCUCAUAGCUACAAGAUGAUGCAUGAUUAGUUCAAAACAAUGUGGAUAAAAAAAGCAUUAAUUUUGGCAGAAUAAUGUGAACACUAAAGGGUUAAUGUCUAUGGAGUGGAUUUCCUCAAUCAAAUAUCUCAAAUAUUGGUUUCAGCACAGGUACUAUAAAUGCAUUGUAGGAUAUCGUCUUGCUGUGAGACAUGAACUCCACCUGCCAAAUUUUUCUAAAUCUGGUGUAAUAUUCUUGGGUUACUCUAUCUUCAUUCACAGUACUUUCAGAUGACGUAUUUUCAUCAAUGCCUAUGUAUUAGUAGUAUUAGUAGCAUUCUUUGUGUUGAACAAGAGAUAGAGAUGCAUAUGUUUCGGGUUUAGAAGUCUGAUUUUCCACAUUCAAUAAUCAAAUACAAAGACUUCUUUUUGGCCAAAUUCCAUUCCUAUAUCAGCUGAAUAUGUUGAUAUUAACUCCAGCUGUCUUUUUGGCAUUAAAAACAUUUUUAUCAUAGGUUUUCAGGUCAUCCACAAAGAAAUUAUGAGUUACAUUGAUAUCUCUAGCAGUUGCUGACCCUAACGUAGCCAUUGGAUUUUCGUAAAAGAAAUGAUUGUAGAUUUAAUGCCAAAAUAAACAGAAUUAUAGAAAGAUUAUCUAAUUUGAAUAUUUCCAUUAGGAUAUGCAUAACAUCAGAGACAAUCAUUCUGCUCCCAGGUGUAAGUGCAAGGAUUGUUGUCAAUGGUAGCAACUAAUUUUAGUUUUAAAAUAGUCUCUAAAAUAUUUAUCACUAGCAUGCAUUUUAUCCAGUCAGAUACCAACAUGAGUGGUGAUUAACAUUGGUUCCAGUUGGUCAAAUUAGUAUAUCUUAGAGAAUCUUUUAUUUCACUCAAUGAAAAAAGAAGCUUAUGAAUCUAUAUGCUAAAAGAUGUGACCCAUUCCCCCUUUACUUUGUCUAUACAUACUGAACCAAAUGUAAGUUUUUUUUCCUCAUAUUUAUGUUAAUAUCACACGUCAUCUCAAAAGCUGUCUGCAUUUAUUUAGACAAUUCCCAUCUGUUCUCACUCUAAGGACUCUUACUUAACUGGAAUGUAUAUUUACCAGGUAGAUGACUUUAUCCCGAUGUAUCUCUGCAAACAAACUUUGCCAACACCUGAUAAUAUUUCCUUUUACACUGUGUAUUGACUCCUUUAUCCAUUUACUUUGCUCUACAAUAACCCUUCAGUUUUUAAACUGGCCUUGCAUUCAGACAUACAUGUAUCGUAAUAGAAGGCAGCUGUCCUGCUGAUGUGAAUAUCUCUUAGAAAAUCAAGGAGAAAGAAGAUAACUAUGGACAACUGCUUUGAAACCUCCAGAUUACAACUUUACACUUAUACUAAUAAAAAUUGGAGUACUUGGGGUUUAGUAAGUACGUGCUUAACUGUCAGUCUGGAUAAGCCUGGAUUUUCAGAAAAAGAAAAAAGAUUAAUCAGCUGAUUCACACAUUACAAAUACAAUUUGUAAGUGGAACAGUAAAACUAUGCAAGACUUUUUUCAGGUUUAGAAUGUGAUAUUCUUUUCCAUAUCUAUAUUCCAAAGAUGGAGCUUUGUACCUUUGUUAGAAACCAGUUCCUUGCUCAGAGGAAGAAUUUAAAUGAUUAAAUACAGAAGAUAGAGAGAGAGAGAGAGAGAGAGAGAGUGUGUGUUUCUCUCUCUCUCUCUCUCUCUCUCAAUCAAUCACACAAUCAUUUAAUAGUGUGUGUAAUCAUCGUUUUAUGUCAUUUUCCAAGCUGGGAUAGGUUAGCUAUAUCAUUGUAGUCUUAGUCAUUUACCACUUUUCUAGGUGGGUCAGACAACCAUGUCUUGCUCAGGCUUGGUUUCUACAGUUGCAUAUCCUCCUUCCUACUGCCUGCUACUUUACAGUGUGUACUAAUUGCAUUUUACCAAUGCCAAAACAAAUAAAUUUUAUAAGCAGAACAGUAAAAAUAUGUGAAAUUUUUCUCAAGUUCAAUAUGUGAUAUUGUUUUUGCUAUCUAUAUUCCAAUAAUGGAGCUUUUGUUUCUUUGUUAGAAUCCAGCUCCUUCUGUACAGGAAGACAUCAAAUAAUUAAAAAUAGAGAAGAUGCAUGCAUACAUAUAUACAUACAUACGUACAUAAGUAUGUAUAUAUGUAUUUAUGUACAUAUAUAUGUAUGUAUGCAAAUGAAUGUAAGGAUAAAUGGUUUCUAUCUUCCCAGUAUCACUUGCAAGGCAUUGUAGCUACAGAAGAUAUUUGCCCAUGGUGCCUAUUAGGGAAAUUAAAUCUAAAACAUGUUGCUUCAAAGUAAGUUUCUUAAUCAUGUAGCUAUUCCUUGUAUGGUAUUAUUUACAUGUGGAGCUGGCAGAAACGUUAGCACGCCGGACGAAAUACUUAGCAGUAUUUCGUCUGCCACUACGUUCUGAGUUCAAAUUCCGCCGAGGUCGACUUUGCCUUUCAUCCUUUCAGGGUCGAUUAAAUAAGUACCAGUUAAUCCCUUUGUCUGUCCUUGUUUGUCCCUUCUGUGUUUAGCCCCUUGUGGGUAGUAAAGAAAUAGGUAUUAUUUACAUGUGGAAAGGCUGGUAGAUUGGCAGAACCACUCGAGUGUUUAAGAAGAUACUUUGCAGUAUUUUAUGUGUCUCUUUAUUUACAGUUUGAGUUCAAAUUCCACCAGUCAGCUUUACUUUCAUCCCUCUGGAGCUGAUAAAAUAAAAUUACCUAUCAAGUACUAGAAUCAGUAGUAUUGGCAACUAAUAACAUCUCCUUUCAAAAUUGCUGGCCUUAGUGCCUGAAUUAGAAAUUAUUAUCGUGUUUGUAUGUCUCAGUGUAUUAGAAUCAACUGUGUUUUGGUGGUAAAAUAAAUGUUUUAAUCUCUUUUAAUUACUUUUCAAAAAGUCAAAAUAGCUUGAAAUGAAUUAGCUGAAGCCAUUUCUGUAUUAAUUACUGUGAGAAUUUAAUUCUUAGAGCUGGGGACAAAUUUUUCUCAUGGGAUUUUGUUUCUUUUUGUAGUUAGGUUCCAAGUACUAAACUAAAAUCUGUAGAAAGGAUGCAGAGUAUAAAAAAAUAAACAACAACCAAACUAGAUUCUUUACAUUAUCUAUUUCAGUGUAAUUUUUUUUUUUUAUAUUUGUGGCUCCAAAUUAGCUCUAAUUGAGCUGACUUGUGAUUAAAGAUGUUUAGGCUAUUAUCAUUCCAUUUCUUUUAUUAUUUUUAUAUUCGUUUAGGAAUGGUGUACCCCUAAUUACAUAAUCCACUGUUUUUUUUUAAAUUGGUGGUGAGAGAAUUUUGGUUACUAUUUGUUACAGCUCAAGUGACCAUUUAGAGAGGCUGCAGAACUGACUUUAGUUUUUCUAUAUUAAAUCUAAUGGUAGACUAGAUAAUUAGAACCAGCAACAAGCAGAUAUCAGUUAACUCCUUUGUUCUUUCGGUAAAAACUUUGUUGUUUAAAACUAGUCACCUAGUUUUUUUUGUUUAAAGUUAUUUAAGUAAUUACACCUUAUUUUCUAUUGGUAGAUAAGAGCAUUUAUUUUGUUUCACUAUUCAUAAGAGGAAACCAAGAAUACUCACGAUCAUUAUAAUAUUUCAAAAUAUAAAAAAUAUAUAUCUUUUACUUGUUUCAGUCAUUGGACUGCAGCCAUGGUGGUGCACUCCCUGCAGGGUUUCCUCUUUAAAACUGACCCCUUGUACUUAUUUUUAAGUCUGGCACUUAGUCUAUAGGUCUCUCUAUAACUGUCAGGUUACAGAGAUGUAAACAAACCAACACUGGUUGUCAAGUGGAGUUAGGGGACAAAUGCAAAUACACUGACAUGCACAUGCAUAUAUGGGCUUUUUUCAGUUUCUGUCUUCCAAAUCCAUUCACAAGGCUUUGGUCUGCCUAAGGCUAUAGUAGAAGGUAAGGCGGCGAGCUAGCAGAAACGUUAGCGAGCUGGAGAAAUGCUUAGUGGUAUUUCGUCUGUCGUUACGUUGUGAGUUCAAAUUCCGCCUCGGUCGACUUUGCCUUUCAUCCUUUCGGGGUCGAUAAAUAAAGUACCAGUUUCGCACUGGGGUCGAUGUAAUCGACUUAAUCCCUUUGUCUGUCCUUGUUUGUCCCCUCUGUGUUUAGCCCCUUGUGGGCAGUAAAGAAAUAUAUAGUAGAAGAUGACUGCCCAAAGUGCCAUGCGGUGGGACUGAACGUAGAACCAUGUGGUUGGGAAGCAAGCUUCUUAACCACACAACCACCCCUAUUUCUACAUGUUUCAGUUAAUUUUGGCAGUAAGUAGAAUUAAAAGUGAAAAAAAUUGUAUUAAUAUGCAGAUAAACAGGAAUCAUUCCCAAUGUUUUUCAGUCUGUUUGCAGCUUUAACAUCUCUUUUUAAGUUCACAGAAUUUUGUGUUGCAACAUGUUUUACAAAAUAUGAAUAUGGUGAUUGAGUAAUGCAGCAAGCUGGCUGAAUUACUAGCAUGCUGGACAAAAUGCUGCUAAGCAUUUUGUCUGUCUUUAUGUUCUGAGUAAUCGACUUACCCCUCUCCAAAAUUUACUGGCCUUAUGCCAAAAUUUGAGACCAAUAUUAUGAUUAACCCUUUAGUAUUCAGAUUAUUCUGUCAAAUGUAAUACUUAUGUAAUCAAAUUGUUUUGAAUUAAUCAUGCAAAGACAUCGUAGUAUUGAAAUUUUGAAGAUGUGAUUGCUUAUUCUUAGAAUGACAUUGUAGGAUAAGUGUGCAAAGCCAGAUCUGGCCAGUUUGAACACAGAACAAGUAGACUAUUUUGGCCGGAUAUGGCCGGUUUAAAUGCUAAAGGGUUAAGUGAAAACCGAGAAGUAAAUAUAAAUUCAAAACAUUAGUUAGUGUUUAAACUUCCUAAAUUAUUAAAUUAUUAAAAUUCAUAAAUUAUUUUAAACUGAAGUUCUUACUUGAAAUCAUAGGUUUUAAUAUAAUAUGAUCAUUUUAAAUCAGCAGGUAUUGUGUCACAGAACGCAGGUAGGAUGUCAAAACACUAAUAACCCUUUUAAUAAAUGAUUACCAAUUUACACUUUUAAAAAUACAUUUUUAACAUUUCAGAGAGUUCUUGUAGCUUUGUUUUGUCUUUCUCUUCUUUCUUUGUAUGUUUUUGGUCUUCAAGUUCCAUAGUACCUUGGUUAAUAAUAACCGUUUUUGAUUCCCAAGUACUGGUGUGUAAGCUAAUGAGCUGAGCACACAUUUCAGUUUUCAAUUAUUCAAUUUCUAAUCAUCAUCAUCCCUUUUUCCAUACUGGUAUGUGUUGGAUGGUUUGAUAAGAACAUAUAAGCCAGAGCGCUGAAUCAGGUUCUAUGUCUGUUUUGGCAUUGUCUUUACAGCUGGAUGUCCUUCCUAAUGCCAACCACUUUACAGAGUGUACUGGGUGCUUUUUUUAUGAUGCACCAGCACCAGUGAGGUCACCAAGUACUCACAAGACAAGACCCCCUCGACUGAGUACAAUAUAGAAUGGAGGGAUAAGAAACUAAUAGAGAGAAAGAAGCUGGUGUCAUAACUCCCAUACUCCUAUUUCUUGAAGGUCAAUUGAGUUAAUUAACCAUUGAUUAAUCUUGCUAGUUGCAAUCAGUUGAGCAUGAAAAUCAGAAUUAGUUUCUCUUUUACCUCAACCUGUGAAUGGUUACAAUGAUGAAAUACAAUAUAUUUCUUGAAAGCAGCAAAAACCUAUAAACUGUUUUGAUGUUAACAAAACCUAUGUAGCUGGUAAAUAGCAAGUUUUCCUUUAUGUGCAGAAACCAAUUCUGAUUUCUGAAGAAAAUAAUUGAAGGGAAAAGCUUUGAAUAAAUUAGAACCAGUGUUUUGAAAGAGUUUACAUUCAUUCAUACUCGAUGCUGUAAACAGCUGUGAUUGUAAUUGCUUUAAAUGUACCUUCCUAGUUUCUGUAUUUUUGAGUUUACUUUUUGAAAAAGUUAUAUACCAUCCUCAGUUGGUGGUAGCAUAUCAGCUUUUACAUGGAUGUUAAAAUUGAAUAAAUAAAUACCUUCUAAAAUUCUUAACUAUUCUAAAUUAGGUAGCUUUUGUUUAAUAUCUUUAAAAUCACCUAUUUUGAUUUUUAGAGAAAGAAUCUGUAUUAUCGCUAGAAGCUCUCUUGGAUGUUUACAUAGUAGAUUUUGUUCUAAAAUAAUUCAAAGCAAACAAUGUUAAUUCAAAUUUCUCCAAUUAGAUUUUUGAUAAAGAGAUUUCAGAUUGAAUGUAAGACAAAUAGAGUUUCUAAUCUUAAAGUCUCUCUGUUAAGUGCUAUUUGGACAUAUUCAAUUUAUUGCCUUUAUCCUUGUUUAGAAAACAGGAGUGGCUGUGUGAUAAGUAGCUCGCUUACCAACCACAUGGUUCCGGGUUCAGUCCCACUGCGUGGCACCUUGGGCAAGUGUCUUCUACUAUAGCCCUUGGGUCGACUAAAGCCUUGUGAGUGGAUUUGGUAGACGGAAACUGAAAGAAGCCUGUUGUAUAUAUAUAUAUGUGUGUGUGUGUGUAUAUGUCAAACUUCGCUUGACAAACGAUGCUGGUGUGCUUACAUCCCUGUAACUUAGCAGUUCGGCAACAGAGACUGAUAGAAUAACUAUUAGGCAUGCAAAGAAUAAGUCUUGGGGUUGAUUUGCUCGACUAAAGGUGGUGCUCCAGCAUGGUCGCAGUCAAAUGACUGAAACAAGUAAAAGCGUAAAGAGAGUCUGAGGUAUUUUAGCUGCCUUGCAUCUUUAGCAGUUAUGAAUUUUAAUAAUUUACAAAAUUAGAAUUUUAACUAAUGUCUUUAAUUUAUAGUCAUGUUUCACUUAUUGGUUUUUACUGAUCUUUUAUCUCUUACCUGUUUCAGUCAUUGGACUGCAACUAUGCUAGGGCAUUGCCUUGCUGAACUGCUAAGUUAUAAAGAAUGUAAAUAAACCAACACUGGUUGUCAAACUGAUGAGAGACAAACACAAAGGCAAAUACACACACACACGACUGACUGCUUUUAGUUUCCAACUACCAAAUCUGCUCAGGGCUUUGAUUGGCCCCCAAGCUAUUGUAGAAGACACCUAAGUUGCCAUGAAGUAGGACUGAACCUGAAUGAUUUUGUGUUAAAAAGUGAAGUUGGAGCUGCAAGCAGUUUGAAAGGCAUUGAAAAUAAUUCCUGUUUAAGUGUAGAUUGAUACAAAUCUUUUCACUCCUACUUAAUGUUUAGAAAAAAUUCUUUUCACUCCUUAAAGUGAAGCAAUUUCAAAGGAAAAAUAUUUCAAAUUGAGAGUAAUUAGGUUGUAAAACUUGUUUCACGACCAUUUUAUUUCCUUGUUACAUGACUAUUAUAUUUUCUGUGUAUUUUAAGUCAAUGUUUCUCCCAUGGAGUGGUAGUGAUACUGUGAGGAUUUAAUAAAAUAAAAAUGGUUUUAACCCUCUUGAUACCAUGUUUGAGACUGCCUCUGAUAUAAACUUCCUGUUUUAAAAUGAUCUAAUGACUGAAACAAGUAAAAGAUAGAAGAUAAUAUUCUAUUUAUUUGCUCAUGGAAGCUUGAUAUUGUCUAUUUGAAAAUCACUGUUUUUAAGUAUCAUAAAUUGUAUUUAAGACAAUAGAAUAUUUAGUUUCACUUUCACAUUUUCAAAUGGAUCAUUACAUAAAUUUAAUUAUUUUUCAGUUUGCUGGUUUACAUGAACGAACAUGCCACCCAAGAUGCAUUGGUUAUAGGGGUAAAUCAGUCAGAAAACCCCUUCAGGGACCAGAAGAGUUGUAUUAUAUUAUGAGCUGAAUAUCAAAAUCUAGAGAUGCAUUUGUGUAAGUACUUUUUAAUGUUAUACUUUUAUCAUCAUCAUUAUUUUACAUCUGUUUUUCUAUGUUGUUAUGGGUGGGAUAAAAUUGCUCCAGCUUUGUUCUGUUGUGGUCCUUUGUCAUUAGCUACACAUAACUAUAAAGAAAACCAAUAAUUUUUCUUGUUGUGUAUGUCAUCAUUUUUGGUGUGUUUUUCUUUUUUGUAGGGUUGUUUUAUAUCUUUUGUGGUGUUGAAUUAUGUUAUCUACCUAUGGUUUUGUAUAUUUUCAUUAAUGCAAACAUGAGUAAAUGUUAAAAAGGGAGUAAAAGAAAAUGAAUUCCUUAGAUCUGCCUGUCUGGCUUGUAUAGUUAACCCUUUUACUGUGGAAAUCAGAUGUAUCCACUCAAAAUUUCAUUACUCUGUAGAAAGCAGCCUAUUUUUUGCUGAGGAAUGUCAUAUUUGAACUAUUUUUUGUUGAGAAAAGUCAAAUUUAUUGCAGAAAAUAACAAUUCUAUUUUUUGGUAGAUAUUCAACAUCGUUACUGGAAUAAUCAUGAAAUUUAUUUAUACAGUUAAAGAGUUAAGAGUGUUAAAUCUGAAAUACAAGGAAACUGUUUAUGGUCUUUCAUUGGUAUCAAUUAUUUUAUUUGAGAACUUUUGGUAGAGUCUGUGUAUGGGAGGUGAAGAGUUUAAUUCUUUGGGAUCUUUCUUUUGUCUGAGACUGACAAAUGGAGAAAUAUUAUUACCUAGGAUGUAAGCAUUCUUUCAGUAGUAUUCUGCCAAAAACUAUAAUGUGAGUGAUGAUUAUAUAUCAGUUUUUAUUUGUUUUCUAUUUUCAGAAAUGAUUUAUUUAUCUGACUUACCACGACUUGUACAUCAUCUACCCGUGGCCUCCUGUGUUCAGUCCUCAAAUGUUGCAUUGCUCUACAGAUCUGGUCUACAGAAUUCAUCCUUUUCCCUACCUAAAACUCCACCCACCCAAUUUUUGCCUAGUCAGGGGUUUAGGUUUCACUGCUGUUUUUUUUUUUUUAUAUUUAGUUUAUAUUUAACAAUCAUGAUAUUGCUACACUUGUGUAAACUGCUGUAGAGUGAUUUAUUUACUGUAAAACAUUUUGUCAAAGUAUAUUUGAAAUUUUCUCAAGUCUCCAUUUGGUUCUAAAUGUAUAAUUUUUUUCCAUUUUUAGGAUGCUAUUUUAGACGAUUUGUGUCAGUAUUAAAAAAAUAACAAACAAAAAAAAAAUAAAACAAACCCCAAUUAUUUAUUAAAGCAAUGUUCAUCAUACUUAAUUUUUGUUGUUGUUAAUCUUACUUUUGUAUAUUCAUGCUUUUAGUUUGUUUUGAUGUAAUAAUUAAAAUGUAAUUGUGAUCAUU
Molecule: long non-coding RNA, 26118 nt
Filed under: Octopus vulgaris (common octopus)
Lineage: Eukaryota; Metazoa; Mollusca; Cephalopoda; Octopoda; Octopodidae
Source: RNAcentral